Molecule: long non-coding RNA, 1397 nt
Filed under: Homo sapiens (human)
Lineage: Eukaryota; Metazoa; Chordata; Mammalia; Primates; Hominidae
Description: HSALNT0089770
Source: RNAcentral
GUUUCUCAGGCUUACUUGUACAUUAGAAUCACCUGGGGAACAUUUAAAACUCCUGACGCUGGGGCUGUGUACUUUUGACUAAUUAAGUCAGAAUCUCCAGGCAUUAGCACAUGUUAAAGCUUUCCAGGUGAUUCUAAUGUGCAGCUGAGUUUGAGAACCACCGUUGAGAGAUCAGGCAAGGCCCAAUCUCUUCACAGUGGAAGACCACCCCUCACCCAACUACCCACUUGUCAGGAUCUAACUUGGGCUAGUCAGAGGCUCCAGAGUCAAAUCCCCUCAUCUCCUGCAUGGAUUUUUAUAUGCCUGGCUGCUGGUGUUGCGAGGGUGCAGUAGGAGAAGAAGAAUGAAAUCUCUUCAUUUGGUGGCUGCUGCGUCUCCAGGCUUCCUGUCCCUGUGCCAUCAGAAAAGAAGGUGUGAGGGAGGAGUGCAGGAGGGCAAGAGAAAAAUGUCUUCCCAGAAACUCAGCGUAUGUCUCAGUGGUCAGGUUGGAAGAGGUCCCAUCUGCUCUUCCACUGUUGAGAACUAACUGAUAUCGAAUCAUAUUGGUGGAGCUCAAAAUGUCACUGGCAAUGCCGACGGGAGGUCGUGACUUUAGAUCUACAGCCACACGGGCUUACCUUCAACCCAGCCCACUCAGUUCCUGGCAUAGAUGGACAAGUCAAAGACUCCCCUAAAGAGUGGGCCCUUUCGUCUGGCAAAAAAAAAUAGAUGAGAGUAGAAUGUCUGCCUCUUGAGGAUUAACCUGCUCCAAAAUAAGCCCAAGGAAGCUAACUGACCACACUUAAUUCCUUCCACUAAAUUUACCAACCGGAAACUCCCCUUCCUCCCAAGGGCAAGAAUGUGUGGAGGUGAUGGGAUAGGCUAGGAAAGUUAUGGUAGCAGGAAUUCCUUUCUCUCUAUCAAAACCUGAGUCCAGGAUCACUCACAGUGGGGGGAAGCCAGCUGCCAUGUCAUGAUACUCUCAAGAAACCCUACGGAAAUGUCCUUGUAGUAAGGAAUUGCAGCCUCCUGCUAACAACCAGCACUAGCUUGCCAGUCAUAUGUGUGAGCCACUUUGGAAACAGAUCCUAGUCCCAGCCAAGCCUUCAAAUGCCAGAGCCUAUUGUGAGGGAUGGGGUUUGUCAGGCAGAUCAGAUCUGCAUUUGACAAGCAGCAAAUCAAUGAAGUAGAUACCUGCACAGCUGAAAGUGGAGGGAGAAGAUACAAUUGAUGUGUUGGGCAGCAAAAAAGGAGGCAUCUAUUUAAAAAAGAGUACUUGCUAGCCAGGCAUGGUGGCGCAUGCCUGUAAUCCCACCUGCUUGGGAGGCUGAGGCAGGAGAAUCACUUGAACCCAGGAGGUAGAGAUUGCGGUGAGCUGAGAUCGUGCCAUUGCACUCCAGCCUGGGCAACAAGAACGA